GACGAACGCUGGCGGCGUGCUUAACACAUGCAAGUCGAACGGAAAGGCCCUGCUUUUGUGGGGUGCUCGAGUGGCGAACGGGUGAGUAACACGUGAGUAACCUGCCCUUGACUUUGGGAUAACUUCAGGAAACUGGGGCUAAUACCGGAUAGGAGCUCCUGCUGCAUGGUGGGGGUUGGAAAGUUUCGGCGGUUGGGGAUGGACUCGCGGCUUAUCAGCUUGUUGGUGGGGUAGUGGCUUACCAAGGCUUUGACGGGUAGCCGGCCUGAGAGGGUGACCGGCCACAUUGGGACUGAGAUACGGCCCAGACUCCUAAGGGAGGCAGCAGUGGGGAAUAUUGCACAAUGGGCGGAAGCCUGAUGCAGAAACGCCGCGUGCGGGAUGACGGCCUUAGGGUUGUAAACCGCUUUCGCCUGUGACGAAGCGUGAGUGACGGUAAUGGGUAAAGAAGCACCGGCUAAAUACGUG
Molecule: ribosomal RNA, 468 nt
Filed under: uncultured bacterium
Lineage: Bacteria
Description: partial 16S ribosomal RNA
Rfam family: Bacterial small subunit ribosomal RNA
Source: RNAcentral